UUUCUUUUUGGGGAGUGGAGAUACCAUGAUCACGAAGGUGGUUCACCCAAAGCGGACAUCCGAUCAGGCCGCUCUGACCUUUGUGAAUUCCCCAAAAUGUGGGAAUCUCCACUGCAUAAUUUGUGGUUGUCGUGUCCUGGCAUUC
Molecule: small nuclear RNA, 145 nt
Filed under: Cyprinodon variegatus (sheepshead minnow)
Lineage: Eukaryota; Metazoa; Chordata; Actinopteri; Cyprinodontiformes; Cyprinodontidae
Description: U1 spliceosomal RNA (ENSCVAG00000005048.1)
Rfam family: U1 spliceosomal RNA
About the family: U1 is a small nuclear RNA (snRNA) component of the spliceosome (involved in pre-mRNA splicing). Its 5' end forms complementary base pairs with the 5' splice junction, thus defining the 5' donor site of an intron. There are significant differences in sequence and secondary structure between metazoan and yeast U1 snRNAs, the latter being much longer (568 nucleotides as compared to 164 nucleotides in human).
Source: RNAcentral